AGCUCAGAUCGCAGUCUGCAACCCGACUGCGUGAAGUCGGAAUCGCUAGUAAUCGCGGAUCAGCAUGCCGCGGUGAAUACGUUCCCGGGCCUUGUACACACCGCCCGUCACACCAUGAGAGUCGGGAACACCCGAAGUCCGUAGCCUAACCGCAAGGGGGCGCGGCCGAAGGUGGGUUCGAUAAUUGGGGUGAAGUCGUAACAAGGUAGC
Molecule: ribosomal RNA, 210 nt
Filed under: uncultured bacterium
Lineage: Bacteria
Description: partial 16S ribosomal RNA
Rfam family: Bacterial small subunit ribosomal RNA
Source: RNAcentral